GAAUUGCGAUAAGUAAUGUGAAUUGCAGAUUUUCAGUGAAUCAUCGAAUCUUUGAACGCACCUUGCGCUCCUUGGUAUUCCGAGGAGCAUGUCUGUUUGAGUGUCGUCGAGUUCUCAACCAAGCCCUUGGGUUUGGCUUGGAUCUGGAAGCUGCUGGCGGAGGUCGGCUCUUCUGAAAUGCAUUAGCGAUCUACUACGGCCUUCCGGCGUGAUAACGAUCGUCGACGGCUUUGAUCGCUUCCAACGGGAAUGAUAUAUAAUCUUGACCUCAAAUCAGACAGGACUACCCGCUGAACUUAA
RNAcentral lists this ribosomal RNA (300 nucleotides) under Tylopilus balloui. Its description in RNAcentral is "eukaryotic LSU rRNA". The stretch from base 1 to 106 matches the Rfam family "5.8S ribosomal RNA", at positions 50 to 154 of the family's 154-position model. Lineage: Eukaryota; Fungi; Basidiomycota; Agaricomycetes; Boletales; Boletaceae. The record is from RNAcentral.